UCGUCACACUAUCAUUAACUGAAUCCAUAGGUUAAUGAGGCGAACCGGGGGAACUGAAACAUCUAAGUACCCCGAGGAAAAGAAAUCAACCGAGAUUCCCCCAGUAGCGGCGAGCGAACGGGGAGGAGCCCAGAGCCUGAAUCAGCAUGUGUGUUAGUGGAAGCGUCUGGAAAGGCGCGCGAUACAGGGUGACAGCCCCGUACACAAAAGCGCAUGUGCUGUGAGCUCGAUGAGUAGGGCGGGACACGUGGUAUCCUGUCUGAAUAUGGGGGGACCAUCCUCCAAGGCUAAAUACUCCUGACUGACCGAUAGUGAACCAGUACCGUGAGGGAAAGGCGAAAAGAACCCCGGCGAGGGGAGUGAAAAAGAACCUGAAACCGUGUACGUACAAGCAGUGGGAGCACCCUUUGGGUGUGACUGCGUACCUUUUGUAUAAUGGGUCAGCGACUUAUAUUCUGUAGCAAGGUUAACCGAAUAGGGGAGCCGGAGGGAAACCGAGUCUUAACCGGGCGUUAAGUUGCAGGGUAUAGACCCGAAACCCGGUGAUCUAGCCAUGGGCAGGUUGAAGGUUGGGUAACACUAACUGGAGGACCGAACCGACUAAUGUUGAAAAAUUAGCGGAUGACCUGUGGCUGGGGGUGAAAGGCCAAUCAAACCGGGAGAUAGCUGGUUCUCCCCGAAAGCUAUUUAGGUAGCGCCUCGUGAAUUCAUCUCCGGGGGUAGAGCACUGUUUCGGCUAGGGGGCCAUCCCGGCUUACCAACCCGAUGCAAACUGCGAAUACCGGAGAAUGUUAUCACGGGAGACACACGGCGGGUGCUAACGUCCGUCGUGAAGAGGGAAACAACCCAGACCGCCAGCUAAGGUCCCAAAGUCAUGGUUAAGUGGGAAACGAUGUGGGAAGGCCCAGACAGCCAGGAUGUUGGCUUAGAAGCAGCCAUCAUUUAAAGAAAGCGUAAUAGCUCACUGGUCGAGUCGGCCUGCGCGGAAGAUGUAACGGGGCUAAACCAUGCACCGAAGCUGCGGCAGCGACACUGUGUGUUGUUGGGUAGGGGAGCGUUCUGUAAGCCUGUGAAGGUGUGUCGUGAGGC
RNAcentral lists this ribosomal RNA (1089 nucleotides) under Salmonella enterica subsp. enterica serovar Enteritidis. RNAcentral's name for it is "partial 23S ribosomal RNA". It matches the Rfam family "Bacterial large subunit ribosomal RNA", at positions 140 to 1269 of the family's 2925-position model. Lineage: Bacteria; Pseudomonadati; Pseudomonadota; Gammaproteobacteria; Enterobacterales; Enterobacteriaceae. The record is from RNAcentral.